Molecule: ribosomal RNA, 1667 nt
Filed under: fermentation metagenome
Description: bacterial LSU rRNA
Rfam family: Bacterial large subunit ribosomal RNA
Source: RNAcentral
CCAAUCGAACCCGGAGAUAGCUGGUUCUCCCCGAAAUAGCUUUAGGGCUAGCCUUAGGAGAAUAAGUAUUGGGGGUAGAGCACUGACUGGGCUAGGGGCCCAACCAGGUUACCGAACCCUAUCAAACUCCGAAUACCAAUACUUUGACCUAGGAGUCAGACUGUGGGGGAUAAGCCUCAUAGUCGAGAGGGAAACAGCCCAGACCGACAGCUAAGGUCCCCAAGUACGGACUAAGUGUAGAAGGAUGUGGAAUUGCACAGACAGCCAGGAUGUUGGCUUAGAAGCAGCCAUACAUUUAAAGAGUGCGUAAUAGCUCACUGGUCGAGUGGUUCUGCGCCGAAAAUGUAACGGGGCUAAGUCCGUCACCGAAGCUUCGGAAGUAAGUGUAAGCACUUACUUGGUAGGGGAGCGUUGCCUGCGCCUUGAAGCGGUACCGUAAGGAGCCGUGGAGUGCAGGGAAGUGAGAAUGCCGGUAUGAGUAGCGAGAGAGAGGUGAGAAUCCUCUCCGCCGAAAGCCUAAGGAUUCCUGAGGAAGGUUCGUCCGCUCAGGGUAAGUCGGGACCUAAGCCGAGGCAGAAAUGCGUAGGCGAUGGACAACGGGUUGAGAAUCCCGUACCACCAUUACACCGAUUGAGUGAUGGGGUGACGCAGGUGGGUAGGUCAUCACACAGAUGGAAUAGUGUGUCUAAGCGAGUAGGGAGUGAGGUAGGCAAAUCCGCCUCACAAGGAACCCGAGACGCGAAUGGGAGCGAAAUUAAGUAGCGAACUGACUGACCCCGAACUGCCAAGAAAAGCCUCUAGCGAGGAGUAAAGGUGCCCGUACCGCAAACCGACACAGGUAGGCGAGGAGAGUAUCCUAAGGCGAACGAGAGAACCCCUGUUAAGGAACUCGGCAAAAUGACUCCGUAACUUCGGGAGAAGGAGUGCCUGUAUGCUGUAAGCUAGGAAGCAAAGCGAGCAGGAACAGGUUGCAGAUGAGAGGCCCAAGCGACUGUUUACCAAAAACACAGGUCUCUGCUAAGUGGGAACACGAAGUAUAGGGACUGACGCCUGCCCAAUGCCGGAAGGUUAAGGGGAAGAGUAAUCCUUCGGGAGAAGCUUAGAACCGAAGCCCCGGUCAAUGGCGGCCGUAGGUAGCGAAAUUCCUUGUCGGGUAAGUUCCGACCUGCACGAAUGGCGUAACGAUUUGGGCACUGUCUCAACGGGGGGCUCGGCGAAAUUGAAAUACCUGUGAAGAUGCAGGUUACCCGCAACAAGACGGAAAGACCCCAUGGAGCUUUACUGUAGCCUGAUAUUGGAUUUUGGUUUUGGAUGUAUAGGAUAGGUGGGAGACUUGGAAGCCUGUACGCCAGUAUAGGUGGAGUCAAUGUUGGAAUACCACUCUUCUAGGGCUGGGAUUCUAACCGUAGUCCGUGAAACCGGAUACGGGACAGUGUCAGGUGGGCAGUUUGACUGGGGCGGUCGCCUCCUAAAAGGUAACGGAGGCGCCCAAAGGUUCCCUCAGUGCGGAUGGAAAUCGCACGAAAGAGUGUAAAGGCAUAAGGGAGCUUAACUGCGAGACAGACAAGUCGAGCAGGUACGAAAGUAGGGCUUAGUGAUCCGGUGGUUCUGCGUGGAAGGGCCAUCGCUCAACGGAUAAAAGCUACCCUGGGGAUAACAGGCUUAUC